AUUACAAGUGGACACCUGAGUCAGCAGGACCUGGAAUCCCAGAUGAGAGAGCUUAUCUACACGACUCAGAUCUUGUUGUCACCCCCAUUAUUGACAAUCCAAAGAUAAUGAAACAACCACCAUCGGUUAAAUUUGAUGCAAAAAUAUUGCAUCUACCAGCAUUUUCAGUUAUAAUUUCUGAAAGACCAAGAUUGGAAUGACUUUUUGUAACAAGUGUGCUCGCAGAUCGACUCCAGUGAGAAGAGCUCGGGGACCUCCUGAGCCAAGCUUAAUCUCCUUUGCUGUUUGUGAGUGGUGGCUGGUCACCAGGAGGUGGCCACCAGGCUCCUCCUUUCCCCGCUGUUCCAAUUGCUAAUCCAGCAUUUGUGGAUAGCUGCAAACUGCGAUAU
Molecule: long non-coding RNA, 389 nt
Filed under: Homo sapiens (human)
Lineage: Eukaryota; Metazoa; Chordata; Mammalia; Primates; Hominidae
Description: non-protein coding lnc-GOLGA8R-2:3
Source: RNAcentral